Carlito syrichta (Philippine tarsier) is the source of this 583-nucleotide long non-coding RNA. RefSeq lists it as uncharacterized. The record is from RefSeq and is a predicted model, not a curated record. Lineage: Eukaryota; Metazoa; Chordata; Mammalia; Primates; Tarsiidae. The transcript is spliced from 3 exons.
CUCAGCAGCUGUUUUCACAAUUGAAAUGCGGCCCUGCAGGACCAGUGAGACGCAGCAGAGUGUGUGAAGCCAUUAAGGCUGACUAGACUCUGAGGAUGCAUUAUUAAAAAGGCAGAUGUUACUCCUGCCCUUAGAGAACAUACAACACGCUAAUGACAAGCACAGCAAAAGAAGAAAACUCUUUCAUGUGAGCAAUUUGGCCCAAGUUCCUGAUAGUUCCGUGCCAGUGAUAUCAUACUGCCUUGAGGCCACACAGACAUAAAGCCUGGUUAUUUUUUAAAUGUUGUGAAGCUGAAUGGCAUCAGAUGUGGUAGAAAGUACACAUUCUUCCCAGUCAGAGGUCUUGGGUACAGUUUCCUACACUGACACUGAAUAUUAAUAAUUUUGUGACUAUGUGAGCUUAGAACGUUAUUUAAUCUUUCUGAGGUUCUGUUUUCCCAUCUAUAAAAUGGGGAUAAGCAAUUUUCCUUAAAAGGCUAUUGCCAAGAUUAAACUAUUUUGAAUAUGUCAAGUUCCUGAUGUAUAAUAGGCACUAAAUAAUUGCCUGGAUAAUAAUUAUCAGUUCUUAUUCCCUGGAUUCAAU